UGGCUCUCGCAUCGAUGAAGAACGCAGCGAAAUGCGAUAAGUAAUGUGAAUUGCAGAAUUCAGUGAAUCAUCGAAUCUUUGAACGCACCUUGCGCUCCUUGGUAUUCCGAGGAGCAUGCCUGUUUGAGUGUCAUUAAAUUCUCAAAACUGCCUAGCUUUGCAGCUUGGUGGAUUUUGGAUGUGAGGGUUUUUUGCUGGCUUUUCCAAGUCGGCUCCCUUGAAACACAUUAGCAGUGGUUUUUCUGCUGUUCAUCAGUGUGAUAAAAUCUAUCUACGCUGUUGUCAGUGAAAGUAUGCUCUGCUUCUAAUCGUCCCUUGUGGACAAUAUGACAAUUUUGACCUCAAAUCAGGUAGGACUACCCGCUGA
RNAcentral lists this unclassified non-coding RNA (367 nucleotides) under uncultured fungus. Its description in RNAcentral is "partial contains 5.8S ribosomal RNA and internal transcribed spacer 2". The stretch from base 1 to 133 matches the Rfam family "5.8S ribosomal RNA", at positions 22 to 154 of the family's 154-position model. Lineage: Eukaryota; Fungi. The record is from RNAcentral.